This is an RNA transcript of Oncorhynchus nerka (sockeye salmon), 1449 nucleotides long. It is a transcript of the gene named carboxypeptidase A1-like, with no coding region annotated. The transcript has 11 exons. The record is from RefSeq and is a predicted model, not a curated record. Lineage: Eukaryota; Metazoa; Chordata; Actinopteri; Salmoniformes; Salmonidae.
AAAGGUGGAGGCUACUGCCUGUGGCUCUACUCCAUAGGCAACGAUGAAGGGGCUGCUCGUUUUGACUGCGCUGUUUGUGGCCGUUUUCGGCAAGGAGACUUUUGAGGGGGACCAGGUACUUCGUAUCACUGCGAGGGAUGAGGUCCAGCUCACUCUUCUGAAGGAUCUGUCUGAGAUGGAAUAUCUCCAGUUGGAUGUGUGGAUGGAGACCACUGACCUCCCCACUUCUGUGGACAUCAGAGUUCCCUUCACCAGCCUGCAGACCGUCAAGGCCUUCCUGGAGACCGAGGACAUUGAGUACUUCAUCAUGAUCAAGGACCUGCAGGUUAUGCUGGAUGAGGAGAAGGAGCAGAUGCUGAGUUCUGCCCGCGCCACUGCCCCCAGAACCAGUGAUGACUACGACUACUCCAACUACCACACCAUAGCCGACAUCUACGCUUUCCAGGACAUGCUGGUGGCUGAGAAUCCCAACCUGGUUAGCAAGAUUGUGAUUGGCCAGAGCUACCAGGGACGCCCCUGAAUGUGCUCAAGUUUAGCACUGGUGGAACCAACAAACCUGGUAUCUGGCUUGACACUGGAAUCCACUCCAGGGAAUGGGUGACACAGGCUAGCGGCACCUGGUUCGCCAAGAAGAUUGUGACCGACUACGGACGUGACGCCGCCCUCACCGCCAUCCUGGACAAGAUGGACAUCUUCCUGGAGAUUGUGACCAACCCUGACGGCUACUACUACACCCACACUAGCAACCGUAUGUGGCGUAAGACCAGGAAGCCCAACCCUGGCUCUUCCUGCAUUGGAACUGACCCCAACAGAAACUGGGAUGCUGGUUUUGGAGGUCCCGGUGCCAGUGACAGCCCCUGCUCUGAGACUUACCGUGGAUCCAAGGCUCACUCUGAGUCUGAGGUCAAGUCCAUCGUGGACUUUGUCAAGUCUCAUGGCAACCUGCAGGCUUUCGUGUCCAUCCAUUCCUAUUCCCAGAUGCUCCUCUACCCCUAUGGUUACACCAGGACCCCCUGCAAGGACGAGAGCGAGCUGCACAACCUGGCCAGGAAGGCUAUCACUGAUCUGGCUUCCCUGUACGGAACCUCCUACAGAUACGGCAGCAUAAUCAACACCAUCUAUCAGGCUAGUGGUGGUACCAUUGAUUGGACCUACAACCAGGGCGUCAAGUACUCCUACACCUUUGAGCUGAGAGACACCGGUCGCUAUGGUUUCAUCCUGCCAGCUAACCAGAUCCUUCCUACUGCCAAGGAGACUUGGCUGGCUCUGAUGGCCAUCAUGGAGCAUACCAAGGACAACACCAACUAGAUGGGUCACCACGACAACCUACAGGACACUCUGUCAUUGUACUGUUGUACAUAUAUAGGAAAAGCCUAGAUGUACCAUUAAGUCUACCAUGGUUCUUUCCAGGCCAGAAAGAGAUCAAUAAAUAUCAACUGUUAUACCUGA